Molecule: long non-coding RNA, 902 nt
Filed under: Homo sapiens (human)
Lineage: Eukaryota; Metazoa; Chordata; Mammalia; Primates; Hominidae
Description: MIR663A host gene
Source: RNAcentral
GACGGUGACUCCAACGGUUGGCUGAGGACGAUUCCCUGAGCCUUGACAAAGCAGGAGCCCUCCGUGGCGGUGCGUCGGUGUCGAGGCUCCAGUCUGACUAAUCCAGGGGGUCGACAAAACAGAUUCGGGACACUAUGCUACACGGAGGGCCUACCAGGAUGCAGAAACAGCAGACGGAGUCCAGGGAAAGCAGUGCGGCAUCCCAGCCUCAGGCCUGCCCGUACGGUGUUCGGCAAGACAAAUCUCUCCUCUGCCUUCUCCUUAUCAGACUACUCAACAUGAAGGCAAUAAGAAUGAAGACCUCUAUGUAUAAUAAUUGACUUCCACUUAAUAAAUACCUGAACAGAUGUUGAGUACAAGCUGAUCCACCUACGUUCAACCUGAGAGAGUCCACAUCCACAGACUGUUUCAUUUCCCUUUUUCAAUUUACAUAGAAGCAUAGAUUCUUGCUGGCAUAUACAAAUGCGCCAUUUAAGGCAAUCAAAAAUGGUUCCACAUCUCAUCUGAUUUCCACAAUUGUUGCUGUAACGAUGGACUACUGAGGAGAGAGACAAUUUCUCUGGCACAUCUUCCCACAUUUUAGCAACAUGUUCAUGGAGAGCCAAUAUUCAGUAAUUACAGCCCAAUUCCUCACAAUUUCACAAUUCGCUAACAAUAUGCAUUUUCACAAUGUAAAGCUGAUUUUCCUUUAACCAAAUCAAACAUGAAAAGAUAGCUGCAUGCAAUGGGCAAUCUAGAUCAUUAGAAGAUUGAUGUAAAAUUAGAGGACACUGAGACUGGAAUAGAUUGCAAACUUCAGGGAGCUCAGAAAACUUGUAAACUCUACAUUUUGAGGAAAUAUGUUGUCGAUGCUUUUGCAACUCUAUGCAGUAACUUAACAAAUAAAGCCUUAAAGUAACUUA